GGUUUCCUAAACUUUGGGAAUAGGAUGCUUGAAAAAUCAAGGUAUUCCUUCAACAUAGAGGAGACAUUUUCGAAAACAAAAAGCCAUAAUGUUUAUUUGGUCACCCAAGUUUCUAAGAGAUUUCUAACUAACUACGAAGUACUUGUCUUCUUGCCACGAAAAUGAAAGUAUUAUUUGUCUCUUAAACACUUGAAAACCCCGCUCUUUACCUCCUUAAUUAUUCUAAAAUAUACAUUCUUUUUGGUUUAUUCAUAGUGCAAAUAAAGAAAGAUAAGUAUUAUAUAAUAUGAUAUGAUACUAAUUUGGAGUUUUGUUCCUAAAGUUGAUCACUUAAUCUAAUUGCAGUGAUUGGGUUCCACUAAUUUAAUUAAUAUGAUUAAGUAAUACCAAAUGGAAGCAUUUGAUGCGGCUAUUAUUAUUACUUUAAAAUUAUAAUAUGGUUAAAAAGUUUAUCCCCAUGGUCCCUGCGUAAUUAUGAAAUCUAUCAUCGAUGGUCUUAAUCUCCUCUUUCUGCAGAAUAUAUAAUUAGUAUUUUUGCUGCUA
Molecule: long non-coding RNA, 543 nt
Filed under: Malus domestica (apple)
Lineage: Eukaryota; Viridiplantae; Streptophyta; Magnoliopsida; Rosales; Rosaceae
Description: long non-coding RNA (MDOM_LNC002701)
Source: RNAcentral